AGGGAAAGAGCUCAGUGGAAGAGCGCAUGAUUUGCAUGCACAAGGUCCUGGGUUCAAUCCUCAGUGUCUCCA
RNAcentral lists this transfer RNA (72 nucleotides) under Camelus ferus (Wild Bactrian camel). It matches the Rfam family "tRNA". From Rfam's summary of the family: Transfer RNA (tRNA) molecules are approximately 80 nucleotides in length. The record is from Rfam by way of RNAcentral. Lineage: Eukaryota; Metazoa; Chordata; Mammalia; Artiodactyla; Camelidae.